AAUCAACGCUGGCGGCGUGCCUAAGACAUGCAAGUCGAGUGGCCACUUUACUGUGGCCACGGCGAACGGGUGAGUAAUACCUAGGAACGUUUUUCUAGUUGAGGAUAACCAGCCGAAAGGUUGGAUAAUACUCAAUGUGAUCGCAAGAUCAAAGAAGCAAUUCGCUAGAAAUGCGGCCUGGGCACCAUCAGCUAGUUGGUAGGGUAAUGGCCUACCAAGGCUAUGACGGUUAGGGGCCCUAAGAGGGGAAA
This 251-nucleotide ribosomal RNA is filed under the name uncultured bacterium. Its description in RNAcentral is "partial 16S ribosomal RNA". It matches the Rfam family "Bacterial small subunit ribosomal RNA", at positions 32 to 304 of the family's 1533-position model. The record is from RNAcentral.